CACAGCUGAUGGGAUAGAAUCGAAUGCGCCAUCGCGCACAUUGCAUGAACCGCCUUCCCCUCAGAUCACCACCCAUCAGCCUUGCCCCGCCAGCGUUCCAGGGCCUAGCGCCCUCGUUUCCAUGGCCAAUAUUCGCUAGGCAUAGCAGGUUUGCGCAAAGCGCAAUGGCGCCUCAUGUUGGCAGCAAACAAACUUAAAUAUUGGAUGAGCAGGGCAUCGUGUACGUUCGCCCCUGUAAAAGCACACUCGUGUUGCACAAUCCCCUGUCCAAGUCAGCAGUCGCAAACAUGCAAAUCAAUAAUCACCCUGAAGCCAUCACCAUCCCAGGACAGUCCCCUGGCGUCGCCACGCGGGCGCCC
Molecule: long non-coding RNA, 359 nt
Filed under: Chlamydomonas reinhardtii
Lineage: Eukaryota; Viridiplantae; Chlorophyta; Chlorophyceae; Chlamydomonadales; Chlamydomonadaceae
Description: long non-coding RNA (CREI_LNC000040)
Source: RNAcentral